Balaenoptera musculus (blue whale) is the source of this 811-nucleotide long non-coding RNA. RefSeq lists it as uncharacterized. The record is from RefSeq and is a predicted model, not a curated record. NCBI's taxonomy places the organism in Eukaryota, Metazoa, Chordata, Mammalia, Artiodactyla, Balaenopteridae. The transcript is spliced from 5 exons.
UUUCAGAUAUACAGAGAGUGGCAAAAGAGUUGAUUCUUCUGAUGUGCAUAUACCCGGCUGAGGCUGAACAAGGUAUGAAAUGAACGCGUCGAGAGAGAAGAUCAGUAAAUAAUUGACCAACUCUUCGUAGAAAGGACUAUUCCAGAUACUCUGUGGAGACUGUACUACAGGGAAUCAAGAACGUGAUUAGAGAGUUCAUUUGGGAACCUAAUACAGUAGUCCAGCUUGGUGAGAUCAAAUUCCUGUGUAUUGGGUUUGCUCGAAGUGAACUGGACCUAUUAAACACAUUUAAUCCACCAUACUUCUGUAGUGUAUAGGAAGACUCUGGUUUGAAUUUGUGGAGCAGGAGAGAAGAACACCACAAGCACAGCAGCUGCAUCCAAAUGAAUCUUUCCCUGGGGAAGGAAAUAUUUUAUUUUCCCUCCAAGGCCACAAGAAGCCAGGAACAUGAAGAGAAGCUGACAGAAGGCAGUUUUUAUCUCAGGGAGAGCUGCUUUUUCCUGACAGUGGUGCUGGAGUGACCCUUGUGUUUGGUUCUGUCAUUAAGGAUUGAUGUACUUGUGUAUGGGUUCCCAGAGAAGCAUUUAUGCUUUGUGAUUGAUUCCCUGUGAGGAUUAGAAUAGCACUUUGCGAGUGCCCAUUCAAUACUCAUUUGUUAAGCAGUAGUAAAAUACAAUAAAUGGAUAACUGUAGCAGCCCAGCCGUGCAAAGCCAAUGUUCCCUAUCUAUCUUUCAACUUUGGGUGGUGCAGUGUACAAGUGACACAACAGGGCACAUGUUACAGGGUAAAGAUUUAGUAGAGUAUUUUUGG